Molecule: ribosomal RNA, 386 nt
Filed under: Teratoscincus microlepis (Small-scaled wonder gecko)
Lineage: Eukaryota; Metazoa; Chordata; Lepidosauria; Squamata; Sphaerodactylidae
Description: partial 12S ribosomal RNA
Rfam family: Bacterial small subunit ribosomal RNA
Source: RNAcentral
GCUCGGUCCUUAACCCAGGCCAAACCAACACCAAUGGCCCGCCAGAAGACUACAAGUGAAAAACUCAAAACUCAAAGGACUUGACGGUGCCCCACCCCCCUAGAGGAGCCUGUCCUAUAAUCGAUACCCCACGCUACACCCAACCCGCCCUAGCACUUCAGCCUAUAUACCGCCGUCGCCAGCCUACCUCAUGAGAGCUUAACCGUAGGCCAAAUGAUUCCCCACCAACACGUCAGGUCAAGGUGUAGCUAAUGGGCGGGAAGAGAUGGGCUACAUUUUCUAAACUAGAACACUACCACCAGCGGCAUGAAACACCCAGCCAAAAGGCGGAUUUAGCAGUAAACAAGACAAUGACAUGUCAUCUUGAAGCCAGCCCUGGGGCGCGU